This is a long non-coding RNA of Pomacea canaliculata, 376 nucleotides long. RefSeq lists it as uncharacterized. Lineage: Eukaryota; Metazoa; Mollusca; Gastropoda; Architaenioglossa; Ampullariidae. The record is from RefSeq and is a predicted model, not a curated record. The transcript has 3 exons.
UAUUUUUGUAUUGUUUUAAAAUACGUUUAAUUGCGUAAUUGUAUCAACCAUCUCAAAUUUUAUGUUUUCAAAUAAAAUGUAUUUCUUUCUUUUCUCAGACGGUGGUACCGUCACACUUGACGAAUAUGAACAUAACAUUGUGCAUGUUCUGGAAAGCAAGUAUAAGGAGAUAAAUGCCUUAGCUGUGGAUGGCUGAUUGAGCUCAUACUUGGAAGAGAUUAAAAAUUGCUUUUCAUUUCGGAGAUGUACGAUGCUGUUCUCAACUUCUACUGCCAUUUCUUCUUGCUGACUAAGUCUUAAACAGUUUACAACAAGAUACUAUUAACGAACAUUACUGGUAUCAGCCGUUUAAUCUGUUAUUGUAAUACACAAUGCA